RNAcentral lists this transfer RNA (83 nucleotides) under Candidatus Levyibacteriota bacterium. Its description in RNAcentral is "tRNA-Leu". It matches the Rfam family "tRNA". Rfam says of the family: Transfer RNA (tRNA) molecules are approximately 80 nucleotides in length. Their secondary structure includes four short double-helical elements and three loops (D, anti-codon, and T loops). The record is from RNAcentral. Lineage: Bacteria; Candidatus Levyibacteriota.
GCCGCGGUGGUGGAAUGGCAGACACAGGGGCCUUAAGAGCCCCCGUCAGCAAUGGCGUGCGGGUUCGACUCCCGCUCGCGGUA